RNAcentral lists this transfer RNA (73 nucleotides) under Camelus bactrianus (Bactrian camel). It matches the Rfam family "tRNA". Rfam says of the family: Transfer RNA (tRNA) molecules are approximately 80 nucleotides in length. Their secondary structure includes four short double-helical elements and three loops (D, anti-codon, and T loops). Further hydrogen bonds mediate the characteristic L-shaped molecular structure. tRNAs have two regions of fundamental functional importance: the anti-codon, which is responsible for specific mRNA codon recognition, and the 3' end, to which the tRNAs corresponding amino acid is attached (by aminoacyl-tRNA synthetases). tRNAs cope with the degeneracy of the genetic code in two manners: having more than one tRNA (with a specific anti-codon) for a particular amino acid; and 'wobble' base-pairing, i.e. permitting non-standard base-pairing at the 3rd anti-codon position. RNAcentral also lists the same sequence under 3 other names. The record is from Rfam by way of RNAcentral. Lineage: Eukaryota; Metazoa; Chordata; Mammalia; Artiodactyla; Camelidae.
GAGGGUAUAGCUCAAGUGGUAGAGCUGCAUGCUUAGCAUACCAAGGUCCUGGGUUCAAUUCCCAGUACUUCCU